Molecule: ribosomal RNA, 497 nt
Filed under: uncultured Glomus
Lineage: Eukaryota; Fungi; Glomeromycota; Glomeromycetes; Glomerales; Glomeraceae
Description: SSU rRNA
Rfam family: Eukaryotic small subunit ribosomal RNA
Source: RNAcentral
AGCAGCCGCGGUAAUUCCAGCUCCAAUAGCGUAUAUUAAAGUUGUUGCAGUUAAAAAGCUCGUAGUUGAAUUUCGGGAUCAAUACGUCGGUCGUGCCUCUGGUAUGUACUGGUGUUAUUGAUUUCUCCCUUCUGAUGAAUCAUGAUGUCAUUAAUUUGGUGUUGUGUGGAGUCAGGACUGUUACUUUGAAAAAUUAGAGUGUUUAAAGCAGGCUCACGCCUGAAUACAUUAGCAUGGAAUAAUGAAAUAGGAUGUUCGAUCCUAUUUUGUUGGUUUCUAGGAUCAACGUAAUGAUUAAUAGGGAUAGUUGGGGGCAUUAGUAUUCAAUUGUCAGAGGUGAAAUUCUUGGAUUUAUUGAAGACUAACUACUGCGAAAGCAUUUGCCAAGGAUGUUUUCAUUAAUCAAGAACGAAAGUUAGGGGAUCGAAGACGAUCAGAUACCGUCGUAGUCUUAACCAUAAACUAUGCCGACUAGGGAUCGGAUGAUGUUAAUUUUU